This 223-nucleotide ribosomal RNA is filed under the name Dehalococcoidia bacterium. Its description in RNAcentral is "partial 16S ribosomal RNA". It matches the Rfam family "Bacterial small subunit ribosomal RNA", at positions 1325 to 1533 of the family's 1533-position model. The record is from RNAcentral. Lineage: Bacteria; Bacillati; Chloroflexota; Dehalococcoidia.
GUUGGAGUUGCUAGUAACCGCAUGUCAGCAUAGUGCGGUGAAUACGUUCUCGGGGAUUGUACACACCGCCCGUCACGUCAUGAAAGUUGGCAACGCCUGAAGUCGAUGGGCUAACCGCAUUUAUGUGGAGGCAGUCGCCGAAGGUGGGGCUGAUGAUUGGGACGAAGUCGUAACAAGGUAGCCGUAGCGGAAGCUGCGGCUGGAUCACCUCCUUUCUAGGGAG